CUGAAGCGCCUCGAGGAUGUUGCUGGCCUUGUUUUUUCUUACACAAGGCAAAUGUGCACUCCUUCGGACAUUUCAAAAAAAAUUUCCAUCACAACCUUUUGUGCACUUCUUGUAGGAAAUGCCCUCCCCUCCCGGGUUGGUGCUUUUCCUAUGUACCCUUUCAUUUGAAACCCUGAUGCAUUUUUCGAAUGGUUGUUGUACAACAUAUAAUGUAUAAUAAAA
RNAcentral lists this unclassified non-coding RNA (222 nucleotides) under uncultured Agaricales. Its description in RNAcentral is "sequence contains ITS1". Lineage: Eukaryota; Fungi; Basidiomycota; Agaricomycetes; Agaricales. The record is from RNAcentral.